GAUGAACGCUAGCGGCAGGCUUAAUACAUGCAAGUCGAGGGGCAUCAAGGUACACGAAAGUGUAUUGUUGGCGACCGGCGGACGGGUGAGUAAUAGGUAGGUAACCUACCUCAUACUGAGGCAUAGCUGGGAGAAAUUCCAGGUAAUUCCUCAUGAGGUUAUAUGACACAUGUGAUAUAAUCAAAGGUAUCGCAAGGUACUGGUAUGAGAUGGGCUUACUGACCAUUAGCUAGUUGGUGAGAUAAGAGCUCACCAAGGCGAAGAUGGUUAGGGGUUUUGAGAGAGAGAUCCCCCACAUUGGAACUGAGAUACGGUCCAGACUCCUACGGGAGGCAGCAGUAGGGAAUAUUGGGCAAUGGGCGGAAGCCUGACCCAGCCAUGCCGCGUGAAGGAAGACGGCCUUAUGGGUUGUAAACUUCUUUACUAUGCGACUAACUAGAUUUACGAGAUAAUUCUAUAGAAUGUAGCAUAGCAAAAGCACC
This 482-nucleotide ribosomal RNA is filed under the name uncultured bacterium. RNAcentral describes it as "bacterial SSU rRNA". It matches the Rfam family "Bacterial small subunit ribosomal RNA", at positions 28 to 494 of the family's 1533-position model. The record is from RNAcentral.